This 327-nucleotide unclassified non-coding RNA is filed under the name soil metagenome. Its description in RNAcentral is "partial contains 5.8S ribosomal RNA, internal transcribed spacer 2, and large subunit ribosomal RNA". The stretch from base 1 to 120 matches the Rfam family "5.8S ribosomal RNA", at positions 35 to 154 of the family's 154-position model. The record is from RNAcentral.
GAUGAAGAACGUAGCGGAAUGCGAUAAGUAAUGUGAAUUGCAGAAUUCAGUGAAUCAUCGAAUCUUUGAACGCACAUUGCGCCCCUUGGUAUUCCGAGGGGCAUGCCUGUUCGAGCGUCAUUAUAACCCCUCAAGCUCAGCUUGGUGUUGGGGCCUGCCGCACGGGCAGCCCUUAAAAUCAGUGGCGGUGCCAUCUGGCUCUAAGCGUAGUAAUUCUUCUCGCUAUAGAGUCCCGGUGGAUGCUUGCCAUUAACCCCCAAUUUUCUAUGGUUGACCUCGGAUCAGGUAGGGAUACCCGCUGAACUUAAGCAUAUCAAUAGCGGAGGA